AUUGAACGCUGGCGGCAGGCCUAACACAUGCCAGUCGAGCGGAUGAAGGGAGCUUGCUCCUGGAUUCAGCGGCGGACGGGUGAGUAAUGCCUAGGAAUCUGCCUGGUAGUGGGGGAUAACGUCCGGAAACGGGCGCUAAUACCGCAUACGUCCUGAGGGAGAAAGUGGGGGAUCUUCGGACCUCACGCUAUCAGAUGAGCCUAGGUCGGAUUAGCUAGUUGGUGGGGUAAAGGCCUACCAAGGCGACUAUCCGUAACUGGUCUGAGAGGAUGAUCAGGCACACUGGAACUGAGACACGGUCCAGACUCCUACGGGAGGCAGCAGUGGGGAAUAUUGGACGAUGGGCGAAAGCCUGAUCCAGCCAUGCCGCGUGUGUGAAGAAGGUCUUCGGAUUGUAAAGCACUUUAAGUUGGGAGGAAGGGCAGUAAGUUAAUACCUUGCUGUUUUGACGUUACCAACAGAAUAAGCACCGGCUAACUUCGUG
This 484-nucleotide ribosomal RNA is filed under the name uncultured bacterium. RNAcentral's name for it is "partial 16S ribosomal RNA". It matches the Rfam family "Bacterial small subunit ribosomal RNA", at positions 30 to 507 of the family's 1533-position model. The record is from RNAcentral.